GGUACUUCUAUAACGGUUAUAAGAUAACUCAAGCUUAUGUAUACGGGUAUUUCUAUAACAGCUGUAAGAUAAAAACCAUUUUUUAUAUAAGCUAUUUACGUAAGCUAUCUUUAAGAGCUUAUGUAUGGAAAUAAGCUAAGAAAAGCCCCUUAACAUGUCAUAAGUUGAUGCCACAAACUCUCUCAAACAGUCCCACAAGUGCUUAUGUCAGGUUCAAAUAAUUCAAUCCAAACAAGCUCUAAGUUCUUAAUUAAGCUAUUUAUUCAAACUUACUAUAUAGAAUUGGCAGUCUUGUUAACUUACUUUUUUCCCACAUCAGUGAUGUCAUGUGGAGUUUGAGUUCAUAACCAUAAUGCUGCUUUAAUGCAGUGAUGUCAGCCUAAGUGGACUGCAGGGUGAAAUAAACUGCAUUUAUCAAAAUACAGUGGUUAUUGUUUCAAUAGUGGUCUUUGUAGCUUUAUUCAGCAUACUUGGUUUAUGGUUCAUUGUUGUUCUGAGAGCAAUCAAUUCAUGGUUGAAUGGUUCCCAAUCAUGAGUACUGCAGUUGGCUAACUUACUUAUGGACAUAUUUACUUGGUUCAGAAGCAAUGUUUGGUGAUCUUGGUCAUUUUUCAGUAAGACCAAUACAUUAUACAGAUUGCUUACACUAGCAUAGUUUGUUUCUUGUCGCCUCCUUGCUUAUAUGGGCCAAGCUGCUUAUUUGUUGAUGAACCCUACUUCUUAUUCAUUGAUUCUGUUCCAGGUGAUAUAUUUGCUGAUAUUAUGUUUGUGACUGUGCAUAUUAGUCACUGUCCUAAAAAAUUUAAUUGAAUGUUAUCAAACUAGAUACGAGAUUGAAUCGGUGAGACUUCUGGAUUAUGGUUCAAUCGGUUGAAACAACUGUUGUUAAAAUUGGUUCUAUAGGACUGUAAACUGGCCGUGGUUGAACCAACCUCCAGACUGGCCAGUUAUCGGUUGAACCAUCCGAUCCGGUCUUGUUUUAACAACACUGGUCUAAUUAUGAGAUAUUUGUUUUUGCGUGAAACAGGUAGUCUCUUCUUGCUCAUGUUUCUGAUUGUCACACUUGCUGCUAUGAGCCUAUGAUUGCUAGCCAAGCAAUGUUAUCUGCUACAUUUUCAUGCAUAAACCAAUACGACUUUAGGGUGCUUUCUUGGGUUCAAAAUAAUUCACACACCUCGACAAAGUUUAUGGGUCAAAUUUAUGUCUCUGUAGAUAACUAGUUUCUGAUGGUCAUGUGCAUACUUGUUAUUUCCAUCUUCCAAGUGUUACUGAUAUUGCAAAUGCAUAUGGUAAAGUUCCUCUCAUCUCCAUAUUCCAUGUGGUACUAGUUGUUUUUAUACUCUUUUUCUUUAUCAUUAUUAGGGUCACAAUUUGGAGGAAUCGAUUUGGAUAGACAACUUUAAGCCUUAUUGUUAGCGGCCAACACUCAGUGUGAGUUAGGCCCCAUAAUUUGCGACACUUAUAGCAUAAACACUUAUUUUAUAAGCGCUUAUGUAUGAGCUAUUUCUAUAUAAAAAGUCAUAUUGUUUCA
Molecule: long non-coding RNA, 1531 nt
Organism: Medicago truncatula (barrel medic)
Lineage: Eukaryota; Viridiplantae; Streptophyta; Magnoliopsida; Fabales; Fabaceae
Exons: 4
Source: RefSeq, a predicted model, not a curated record